GCGGGUGAAAAGCCCGCUCGCCGGAAGACCAAGGGUUCCUGUCCAACGUUAAUCGGGGCAGGGUGAGUCGACCCCUAAGGCGAGGCCGAAAGGCGUAGUCGAUGGGAAACAGGUUAAUAUUCCUGUACUUGGUGUUACUGCGAAGGGGGGACGGAGAAGGCUAUGUUGGCCGGGCGACGGUUGUCCCGGUUUAAGCGUGUAGGCUGGUUUUCCAGGCAAAUCCGGAAAAUCAAGGCUGAGGCGUGAUGACGAGGCACUACGGUGCUGAAGCAACAAAUGCCCUGCUUCCAGGAAAAGCCUCUAAGCAUCAGGUAACAUCAAAUCGUACCCCAAACCGACACAGGUGGUCAGGUAGAGAAUACCAAGGCGCUUGAGAGAACUCGGGUGAAGGAACUAGGCAAAAUGGUGCCGUAACUUCGGGAGAAGGCACGCUGAUAUGUAGGUGAAGUCCCUUGCGGAUGGAGCUGAAAUCAGUCGAAGAUACCAGCUGGCUGCAACUGUUUAUUAAAAACACAGCACUGUGCAAACACGAAAGUGGACGUAUACGGUGUGACGCCUGCCCGGUGCCGGAAGGUUAAUUGAUGGGGUCAGCGCAAGCGAAGCUCUUGAUCGAAGCCCCGGUAAACGGCGGCCGUAACUAUAACGGUCCUAAGGUAGCGAAAUUCCUUGUCGGGUAAGUUCCGACCUGCACGAAUGGCGUAAUGAUGGCCAGGCUGUCUCCACCCGAGACUCAGUGAAAUUGAACUCGCUGUGAAGAUGCAGUGUACCCGCGGCAAGACGGAAAGACCCCGUGAACCUUUACUAUAGCUUGACACUGAACAUUGAGCCUUGAUGUGUAGGAUAGGUGGGAGGCUUUGAAGUGUGGACGCCAGUCUGCAUGGAGCCGGCCUUGAAAUACCACCCUUUAAUGUUUGAUGUUCUAACGUGGACCCGUGAUCCGGGUUGCGGACAGUGUCUGGUGGGUAGUUUGACUGGGGCGGUCUCCUCCUAAAGAGUAACGGAGGAGCACGAAGGUUGGCUAAUCCUGGUCGGACAUCAGGAGGUUAGUGCAAUGGCAUAAGCCAGCUUGACUGCGAGCGUGACGGCGCGAGCAGGUGCGAAAGCAGGUCAUAGUGAUCCGGUGGUUCUGAAUGGAAGGGCCAUCGCUCAACGGAUAAAAGGUACUCCGGGGAUAACAGGCUGAUACCGCCCAAGAGUUCAUAUCGACGGCGGUGUUUGGCACCUCGAUGUCGGCUCAUCACAUCCUGGGGCUGAAGUAGGUCCCAAGGGUAUGGCUGUUCGCCAUUUAAAGUGGUACGCGAGCUGGGUUUAGAACGUCGUGAGACAGUUCGGUCCCUAUCUGCCGUGGGCGCUGGAGAACUGAGGGGGGCUGCUCCUAGUACGAGAGGACCGGAGUGGACGCAUCACUGGUGUUCGGGUUGUCAUGCCAAUGGCACUGCCCGGUAGCUAAAUGCGGAAGAGAUAAGUGCUGAAAGCAUCUAAGCACGAAACUUGCCCCGAGAUGAGUUCUCCCUGACCCUUUAAGGGUCCUGAAGGAACGUUGAAGACGACGACGUUGAUAGGCCGGGUGUGUAAGCGCAGCGAUGCGUUGAGCUAACCGGUACUAAUGAACCGUGAGG
This 1619-nucleotide ribosomal RNA is filed under the name Shigella sonnei. RNAcentral's name for it is "partial 23S ribosomal RNA". It matches the Rfam family "Bacterial large subunit ribosomal RNA", at positions 1317 to 2915 of the family's 2925-position model. Lineage: Bacteria; Pseudomonadati; Pseudomonadota; Gammaproteobacteria; Enterobacterales; Enterobacteriaceae. The record is from RNAcentral.